This 800-nucleotide ribosomal RNA is filed under the name uncultured bacterium. RNAcentral's name for it is "bacterial SSU rRNA". It matches the Rfam family "Bacterial small subunit ribosomal RNA", at positions 1 to 781 of the family's 1533-position model. The record is from RNAcentral.
AUCUAGAUUGCGGAUCGCGGCCGCAGAGUUUGACCCUGGCUCAGGAUGAACGCUGGCGGCGUGCCUAACACAUGCAAGUCGUGCGAGAAGUUUGAAAAAUGAGUUUUCGAACAAGUGAUUCAAACGGAAAGCGGCGGACGGGUGAGUAACGCGUAGGCAACCUGCCCCGUGCAGAGGGACAGCCUCGGGAAACCGGGAUUAAGACCUCAUGAUAUCGGGUUAUCACAUGGUAAUCCGGUCAAAGAUUUAUCGGCAUGGGAUGGGCCUGCGUCUGAUUAGCUGGUUGGUGGGGUAACGGCCUACCAAGGCGACGAUCAGUAGCAGAACUGAGAGGUUCAUCUGCCACAUUGGAACUGAGACACGGUCCAAACUCCUACGGGAGGCAGCAGUGAGGAAUAUUGCACAAUGGGCGAAAGCCUGAUGCAGCAACGCCGCGUGAGCGAAGAAGGCCUUUGGGUCGUAAAGCUCUGUCCUUGGGGAAGAAACAAAUGACGGUACCCUUGGAGGAAGCCCCGGCUAACUACGUGCCAGCAGCCGCGGUAAUACGUAGGGGGCGAGCGUUAUCCGGAAUUAUUGGGCGUAAAGAGUGCGUAGGUGGUCUUGUAAGCGUGGGGUGAAAGGCAGUGGCUUAACCAUUGUUAGCCUUGCGAACUGUGAGACUUGAGUGCAGGAGAGGAAAGCGGAAUUCCUAGUGUAGCGGUGAAAUGCGUAGAUAUUAGGAGGAACACCAGUGGCGAAGCGGCUUUCUGGACUGUAACUGACACUGAGGGCACGAAAGCGCGGGGAGCAAACAGGAUUAG